UCGGAUACCAUUGCUAGAUGGUCACUUCGAUUAGUACAGGAAUUGGUUCCUGUGCUACCGGCUUAGGUUCGAACCUGUGGGGUCACAUAUAUUAGAGGUUCCUAUCUGAUCUGAUGGCUGAUGAAGAGUCCUAAUAUUCAUGGACUAUGAGUCCUACGUGUCUGAGACUCUGUGAUCAAGAAUCAGGAUUCUCUGAUUAUGAGUCCCACGCAU
RNAcentral lists this long non-coding RNA (213 nucleotides) under Elaeis guineensis (African oil palm). RNAcentral describes it as "long non-coding RNA (EGUI_LNC081759)". Lineage: Eukaryota; Viridiplantae; Streptophyta; Magnoliopsida; Arecales; Arecaceae. The record is from RNAcentral.